Molecule: transfer RNA, 71 nt
Filed under: Marmota monax (woodchuck)
Lineage: Eukaryota; Metazoa; Chordata; Mammalia; Rodentia; Sciuridae
Description: tRNA.Ala
Rfam family: tRNA
About the family: Transfer RNA (tRNA) molecules are approximately 80 nucleotides in length. Their secondary structure includes four short double-helical elements and three loops (D, anti-codon, and T loops). Further hydrogen bonds mediate the characteristic L-shaped molecular structure. tRNAs have two regions of fundamental functional importance: the anti-codon, which is responsible for specific mRNA codon recognition, and the 3' end, to which the tRNAs corresponding amino acid is attached (by aminoacyl-tRNA synthetases). tRNAs cope with the degeneracy of the genetic code in two manners: having more than one tRNA (with a specific anti-codon) for a particular amino acid; and 'wobble' base-pairing, i.e. permitting non-standard base-pairing at the 3rd anti-codon position.
Source: RNAcentral
GAGGUUGUGGCUCAGUGGUAGAGCGCCCACCUGGCACAUGUGAGGCACUGGGUUCAAUCCUCAGCACCACA